GGUUCCUACCUGGUAGCUGCUGAGGUCGUGGUUGUGGCGCUCCUCGAUGUCGCUGAGCUGCCGCUCCAGGGACUCCUUGGUGCCGCGCACCGACUCUAGCUCGAUGCUCUUGGACUGCAGCUGGCGCCGGUACUCGGCGAUCUCUUCCUUGGCGGAGCGGAUGGCCUCCUUGUUCUGCUCGGCCGCCUCGGUGAGCUUGGCGUAGCGGCAUUUGAACCACUCUUCGGCCUGGUGCAUAUUCUGGUCUGAGUGGCUUUCGAGCUGGGAGCGGAUUUCCUUCAGCGCCGUCGAGAUGUCUGUCUUCAGGUAGUCUUUGCGCUCCACCGUGAUGUGCGAUGCCUGGAUCUGGGCCAGAAGGUCGGCCACCUCCUCCUCGUGGUUGCUCCGCAGGAAGGCCACCUCAUCCUGCAGCGACUGCACCUUCUUGUCCAGCUCCACCUUGACCAGCGACGCCUCCUCGAUGUCUUUGCGCAGCGCGCGGAUGGCCGCCUCAGUGUCGUCGCGCAACCGCGCCUCCUCCUCAAAGCGCUCCUUGAGCCGGUGGAUGUCUUCCUCCAGGUGGUCCGAGUCCAGCUGCACCUGAGCCUUCUCGUGGUUCACCAUCUCCAGGGUGGCGCGCAGCUCGCGGAUCUCCUGGUCGUACGCGUCGCCCAGCUGGGCGUGCGAGGCCUGCUUCUGCCGCAGCGCCUGGAUCUCCGCCUCAAUCUCCUUAUUCUGCUGCUCCAGGUAGUGCACCUUCUCUAUGUAGCCGGCAAAGCGGUCGUUCAGCCCCUGCAGCUGCUCCUUCUCGUUGGAGCGGGACAGCUUGUAGUCGCCGCCGGGUCCGGAGCCGCCGUUGAGCAGGGACGAGGACUGGCUGAAGUCAAGGCUGCUCUCGGCGGAGCUGAGCAUGGCCGAGCUGUAAGCGAGGCGCGGGGCGAGCAUGCUGCGCUUAUAGGAGGAGGACACGGUGCUGGGCGAGCCGCGGGACCACGACUGCGAGCGGAAGCCACUGGACGGGGAGCCGCUGACGCGGCUGAAGCUCGAGCGGGUCUCGGUUACCCGCCGGUAGGCGGACGGGUUGCCCAGCGAGUCCAACGUGUAGCUCAUCUUGGAGGCCUUGGGGCGUGUGGCUGUCACAGCGUUCUGCCGGCCUCGCCGCAGCCCAUUUAUAGCCGCGGCGCUGGUCCCGGGCCAGGGCCCCGCCCCGUGGAGGCGGCGGCCGAGGAGGCGGGGACUGCGGGCACCGGUCGGGGAGGAGGGGAGGGGGGCGGCUGAACGGUGAUUCAGCGCCCGCUCCACGUGGGCCCAGGCCGCAUGGGAACCUGGACUUUUCUGCCCUGGGCCCAGCCCCUCCCCCAGGUCCCCUUUCAGUCCCAGGCUACUUGUAGCCGGGCAUUCGCCUUCUUUCCAUUUCUCACCUCCCGAUUGCGUUUCGCACCCUUGGUGCGAAUAUCGCCAGCGCCCUUUCUUUGUCACUGUCCCGCCGUUCAGGCAGCGCUUCCCCGACCCCGUGGUCCCCUUGUUCUUUAGCCUUCUACCCUCUUAUCCUCAAGGCUUUCUCUUAUUUUGCCCUUUCCCUGAUACUUUUUUCUUUACCCAUCUUCUGUGCUUAAUUUCAUCCCCUUCUUUUUUGGCCCCUCUUCUCCUUCCUACUCUGGCCUUUAGUCCAGUUCACCCUGCCCUUCUCUCAGCCCCUUCCUCGGAGAUCCUUUUCUUCCAAUCUUUCCUUCUCCCCGUCUCCUCCCUCCUUCCCCUUGCAUUCCCUCUUUUCCCCUCCCCCACCCUCAUCUUUUCUUGCCUCCCUCCCCUUCCCCCACCCCUUGUCUUAAAGCAGCUGGAGAUGAGCGCCGAGGAGCUGGGUCUAGAAGACAAAACAAAACAAAAAAAAAGACUUUGCGGAACGGUCUGCCUGAAGGCUUCGGGAAGGGGACAAAGAGAACAGGCCGGGGUAGUUAUUUGUAUAAAAAGUGGGAUAUGGCGUUUUUAACGUUUGGGGGACGUCCGCAGCUUCCGCAGGGGCAGAAGAUAAAGAGACUGAGCCUCAGAGACCCU
RNAcentral lists this long non-coding RNA (2034 nucleotides) under Homo sapiens (human). Its description in RNAcentral is "non-protein coding lnc-NEFL-6:6". Lineage: Eukaryota; Metazoa; Chordata; Mammalia; Primates; Hominidae. The record is from RNAcentral.